This is a long non-coding RNA of Hyla sarda, 699 nucleotides long. RefSeq lists it as uncharacterized. The transcript has 5 exons. The record is from RefSeq and is a predicted model, not a curated record. NCBI's taxonomy places the organism in Eukaryota, Metazoa, Chordata, Amphibia, Anura, Hylidae.
UACCAGACCCAGCCAAUACCAAAUAUGUGGCGCUGUGCAGUGUGCUCUUCUGUACUGGUGACAAAGAUCUCGCUCCUAUUUUUUUUAUACAGGUGCUAGGAGAGCUAGAGCUUCUGCCUCAUAUCUGAUACUAAAUAACAAAACAAUCCAUCCAAUUCAUUUUUCUAUAAACACCAGUUUACAGUGACUCAAACUUUUUACUUCCAAAAAUAUCUACAUUCUUCCUAAUGUCUAUUGCCAGGCACCGGUGUCCCUAUCAUUCCGCCCAUAGUCACUUAAGAUUAAUUCAUUCUAAGAUCAGCUGUAAAAUAAUCUGUUAAACCCAUCUCAGAAAUGACCCAGCAAAGGAAAUUGAGAAUUAUUCCUGGGAUCCUGCGACACAUUGCAGACAUGGGCUGCGGGCCGUCCACGGAUGCUGUUGCAAGAGAACAUAGAGAACGAGACUGGAAUGACAGUGAAGGCAGGCCUCCAACGCAGACCACUCAUGUAUGUAAUGAACCAGGAGGGGAUGACAUGCAGGAAGAAGUAUCUAGAUCAAAAUGAAACUUGAUUUAAAUGGUAAAAUAUCUGAAGAGUGGAAAAAGAUGAAGCCAAAUGGACUGGAGUUUCAUGGACUGGAGUUUCAUUUGUUUCCUGUGGUUUGUCGUGUUCCUUUGAGAUUUACAGAUACAUUUUUUAUGCUUGAAGAAUAACCACAAU